AUGCCUCUGAUCAGCCUGGACUCUGCAUCACUCCCUCUGUCUCUGCUGCCCGUGGGUCCCCUCACAUGCACAUCAAAACAAGAGAGAAGAGGAGUUCCUUCACGGCUCAGCAGAUUAAGGAUCUGGCAUUGUCCCUGCUGUGGCUCUGGUCACAGCUACAGUGUGGGUUCAAUCCCUGGCCCAGGAAAUUCCACAUGCAGCAGGCGUGGCCAAAAAAUAAAUAAAUAAAGAGAGAGUAAAAUAUGCGAUAAAACUCUGAUUUAUUUGAAAAUGUUUCCUGUUGAUUCUGUGAGUCAGUUUUGUUACUAGCAAAUAAUGACAAUUUGGUCUCCUCCAAGUCUUUGCUUGCACUAGGCAGAGCAAUCCUGAAUAUUGAUCUAUUAAUGGUGUUAGAAGACUUAUUUCUUUUUUUUUUUUUUUUGCUAUUUCUUUGGGCCGCUUCUGCGGCAUAUGGAGGUUCCCAGGCUAGGGGUCGAAUCGGAGCUGUAGCCGCCGGCCUACGCCAGAGCCACAGCAACGCGGGAUCUGAGCCGCGUCUGCAACCUACACCACAGCUCAGGGCAACGCCAGAUCCUUAACCCACUGAGCAAGGGCAGGGACCAAACCCGCAACCUCAUGGUUCCUAGUCGGAUUCGUUAACCACUGCGCCACGACGGGAACUCCAGAAGACUUAUUUCUUAUUUUUGGUCAUUGGGAACACAUGGCGAUUUGCUCUUCAGUGUAAUGCUGGCUGCUGUUUUCCAAUAUAUACUCUUCAUCAAAUUAAGGAUGUAUACAAUACUACUUAUAAAAUAGAUAACCAGCAAGGACCUACUGAAUCACACAGCAAGCUGUACUUAGUAUUUUGUAAUAACCCAUAAGGGGAAAGAAUCUAUAUAUUCCGAUACGUAUAUCUGGAUCAUUUCUAUACACCUGAAACUAGAACUACAUUGUAAAUCAACUAUAUGUCAAUUAAAAACUUGAUUGAAUUAAAAAGAUUGAGGAUAUUUAUCCUGUUCUUCGGUGACUAAGAAGGAAUGGUAGUUUUAGCAGAUGCCUUUUGCACGUUUAUCUAGAUGAUCAUUUGAUUUUUCUCUGAGACCUUUUGAUGAAGUAUUCUGUUGAGAAAUUUCCUACUGCCACACCGCCCUUGAGCUGUAAGAAUAAAACAUUGAAGUCAUUCUGCA
Molecule: long non-coding RNA, 1166 nt
Filed under: Sus scrofa (pig)
Lineage: Eukaryota; Metazoa; Chordata; Mammalia; Artiodactyla; Suidae
Description: lncRNA (ENSSSCG00035010218.1)
Source: RNAcentral